This 478-nucleotide ribosomal RNA is filed under the name uncultured bacterium. RNAcentral's name for it is "partial 16S ribosomal RNA". It matches the Rfam family "Bacterial small subunit ribosomal RNA", at positions 28 to 523 of the family's 1533-position model. The record is from RNAcentral.
GACGAACGCUGGCGGCGUGCUUAACACAUGCAAGUCGAACGGUAAGGCCCUUCGGGGUACACGAGUGGCGAACGGGUGAGUAACACGUGGGUGACCUGCCCUGCACUUCGGGAUAAGCCUGGGAAACUGGGUCUAAUACCGGAUAGGACCCUGGGAUGCAUGUCCUGGGGUGGAAAGCUUUUGCGGUGUGGGAUGGGCCGGCGGCCUAUCGGCUUGUGGGUGGGGUGAUGGCCUACCAAGGCGACGACGGGUAGCCGGGCUGAGGGGGUGACCGGCGACACUGGGAGUGAGAGACGGCCCAGACUCCUACGGGAGGCAGCAGUGGGGAAUAUUGCACAAUGGGCGCAAGCCUGAUGCAGCGACGCCGCGUGAGGGAUGACGGCCUUCGGGUUGUAAACCUCUUUCAGCACCGACGAAGCGCAAGUGACGGUAGGUGCAGAAGAAGGACCGGCCAACUACGUGCCAGCAGCCGCAGUAA